This 253-nucleotide ribosomal RNA is filed under the name uncultured bacterium. RNAcentral's name for it is "partial 16S ribosomal RNA". It matches the Rfam family "Bacterial small subunit ribosomal RNA", at positions 524 to 776 of the family's 1533-position model. The record is from RNAcentral.
UACGUAGGGGGCAAGCGUUGUCCGGAAUCAUUGGGCGUAAAGAGCGUGUAGGCGGCCCGAUAAGUCCGCUGUGAAAGUCCAGGGCUCAACCCUGGAAUGUCGAUGGAUACUGCCGGGCUAGAGUCCGGAAGAGGCGAGUGGAAUUCCUGGUGUAGCGGUGGAAUGCGCAGAUAUCAGGAGGAACACCAAUAGCGAAGGCAGCUCGCUGGGACGGUACUGACGCUAAGGCGCGAAAGCGUGGGGAGCGAACAGG